GAUAAGCUUUAGGGGUGUCUUUUAUAAAAAAGGCUGAGAUUUACCCUUUGAACCUGAAUAAGUUAAGACUUACGUAGGGAAAAGUAAGGUCGCAGAC
Molecule: non-coding RNA, 97 nt
Filed under: Wenyingzhuangia fucanilytica
Lineage: Bacteria; Pseudomonadati; Bacteroidota; Flavobacteriia; Flavobacteriales; Flavobacteriaceae
Description: TPP sequence
Rfam family: TPP riboswitch aptamer (THI element)
About the family: Vitamin B(1) in its active form thiamin pyrophosphate (TPP) is an essential coenzyme that is synthesised by coupling of pyrimidine and thiazole moieties in bacteria. The previously detected thiamin-regulatory element, thi box was extended, resulting in a new, highly conserved RNA secondary structure, the THI element, which is widely distributed in eubacteria and also occurs in some archaea. Analysis of operon structures identified a large number of new candidate thiamin-regulated genes, mostly transporters, in various prokaryotic organisms.
Source: Rfam by way of RNAcentral